Molecule: long non-coding RNA, 1389 nt
Filed under: Callithrix jacchus (white-tufted-ear marmoset)
Lineage: Eukaryota; Metazoa; Chordata; Mammalia; Primates; Cebidae
Description: lncRNA (ENSCJAG00000059644.2)
Source: RNAcentral
GGCCAUUAAAGCCUCUUAUGUUGUAAUUAACGUUGGAGGGGAGAAGAGAGCUGCCUUCAGAAUGGAUGUGAUCAUUUAAUUAGGCUUAGGCGUAGGUGCCACAACAGGUCCGGAGAAGUCAUAAUUUAACUACAGCUUUAAAUUACACAGGCAGAGUGGGGAUGGCAGAGUUUGACGGCAGGAGAGCCUGCCUCGGAGCUCGGGGAAACAAUUAAAUAAACACCCCGAGUGAGUGAGACAGACAGUGAGAGAGACAGACAGACAGACAAAGCGGUAGGCGCUGACGGCGAGAGAGAUGGGGAAGAGGGAAGGAAGAGGGUGGUGCGAGGGCGGCGAAGAGGGGUCACCGUAGGAGACCCUGAGCGAGAAGAAAAGUGAGAUCCCCAAGAGUGAGCGGCGGCCUGAGGAGGAGUGUGUGUGUUUGUGUGUGUGUGUACAAGUUUCUGGGGCGAGUGCCUCUGGGCAACCUCAACAGCCCCAGCCCGAGGUGCAGGCUGCAUUCUUCAAACACACCUGACCUUCCAGAACGUGCAAAGACACUGAGCCGAGAAGGCGGCAAGGGCCAGGCUGUGAGUUCGUCCUCGCCUUCUCGGGGCGCCGCUCCCCUUACAAUCUCCGUGUUCGAGCUCGGGAAGAGAAGACGCCUUCCUUUCCCACCCUGGAGAGUGUGGGGUCCCCGAGCGCCCCGCCCCACCCGCGUCCUCAGGGACGGCCAGGGCCGGGCCGCGCGUCCUAGGCACCCGGAGCGAGCGGCAAAGCCGGACGGGACGGCGGGAGCCAGCGGGGCCGGCGCGGGGGCCGGAGAAGUUCAAGACUCGGGCACUGCGCAGCGCCGAGGGGGAUGACCCGCCGUCUCCCGGGCGCCAGCGCUGGCUCGUUGCUCAACCUGCGGGAUUAGUCACUCGGCUAGACCCGCGGGACCGUCGGAAAAACGCGAAGGGAGCGCUACGGCGCAGGGGGAGGGAAGGAAGAACGCCACGCCAAAUCCACUGUGAGCUGGAGGAACGCUGGGAGAACGGAGGGAGGAGAGAGAAGCCGACGGAUGGAGUUACGGAGGUGGGGUAGGGCCCCUCGAAGAGCCGGGCAGAGCCCCUGCUGCUGUCCACACUAAGGCCUGACCCGUGGACGGCACUCCCUCUCCCACCGUUUUGGUUGGAAGAAGCGAGUCUUGGACGCGGGAGAAGACAGAGCCCCCGUACCCCCAACUUCCCACUCAUUCACUAGCCCCCACCCCCAGAUAUUCAAGUAAGAGCCUGCCUCCUGCCCUUCCCCCACAGGAAAAAAAAAAAAAAACACAAAAGCCACCAAACAGUCGCUGGAAGGACACUCUUUUCUUCCAAAGCAGGGCAGAGUUUCUUCAUUUUGAUUAAACAUCCACAAAUUUGUCCC